RNAcentral lists this transfer RNA (70 nucleotides) under Fasciola hepatica (liver fluke). RNAcentral's name for it is "tRNA-Arg". The record is from RNAcentral. Lineage: Eukaryota; Metazoa; Platyhelminthes; Trematoda; Plagiorchiida; Fasciolidae.
AGCGGCUUGGUGGGGUGGAAACACACACGCUUUCUAGGUGAGAAGACGCGGGUUCGAACCCCAGUCGCUU